UAAGCGAAUAGUGAAUCUGGUGGCUCAACCAUACAAGCUAAUUAGUUCGAACUGGCUAACUCGAGAAUGGUAGAGGUAACUGGAAUUUCUUGUGUAGGAGUGAAAUCCGUAGAUAUAAGAAGGAACACCAAUGGCGUAGGCAGGUUACUGGACCAUUUCUGACGCUAAGGCACGAAAGCGUGGGGAGCGAACCGGAUUAGAUACCCGGGUAGUCCACGCUGUAAACCGAUGGAUACUG
RNAcentral lists this ribosomal RNA (238 nucleotides) under uncultured Candidatus Saccharibacteria bacterium. RNAcentral describes it as "partial 16S ribosomal RNA". It matches the Rfam family "Bacterial small subunit ribosomal RNA", at positions 584 to 818 of the family's 1533-position model. Lineage: Bacteria; Candidatus Saccharimonadota. The record is from RNAcentral.